AAGAGAGUCGAAGAAUCGAAAGAAGAAGAUGAAGCAGCAGGGUGCAUUUAAUGUUUACGGAAGGAUAAUAAACCACAGAGGAAUUAAAAGUUCCUUAUCCUCGAAAUGGCUUGAGAGGAGAUAGUAUUAGGAUAACAAUGCGUCGUGAAGCUUAAUAAGCGCUCAUCUGUAAUUCCCGGGAAUGAGUACAUUCCGUCGUGUACGGGGCGAAGAGGUGAUUCAAGAGAAUCAACGUACACCUACA
Molecule: non-coding RNA, 244 nt
Filed under: unclassified sequences
Description: Clostridiales-3 RNA
Rfam family: Clostridiales-3 RNA
Source: Rfam by way of RNAcentral